RNAcentral lists this ribosomal RNA (399 nucleotides) under uncultured bacterium. Its description in RNAcentral is "bacterial SSU rRNA". It matches the Rfam family "Bacterial small subunit ribosomal RNA", at positions 356 to 773 of the family's 1533-position model. The record is from RNAcentral.
GGGGAAUAUUGCACAAUGGGCGAAAGCCUGAUGCAGCAACGCCGCGUGAGUGAUGAAGGCCUUCGGGUCGUAAAACUCUGUCCUCAAGGAAGAUAAUGACGGUACUUGAGGAGGAAGCCCCGGCUAACUACGUGCCAGCAGCCGCGGUAAUACGUAGGGGGCUAGCGUUAUCCGGAUUUACUGGGCGUAAAGGGUGCGUAGGUGGUUUCUUAAGUCAGGAGUGAAAGGCUACGGCUCAACCGUAGUAAGCUCUUGAAACUGGGAAACUUGAGUGCAGGAGAGGAAAGUGGAAUUCCUAGUGUAGCGGUGAAAUGCGUAGAUAUUAGGAGGAACACCAGUAGCGAAGGCGGCUUUCUGGACUGUAACUGACACUGAGGCACGAAAGCGUGGGGAGCAAAC